Molecule: ribosomal RNA, 468 nt
Filed under: uncultured bacterium
Lineage: Bacteria
Description: partial 16S ribosomal RNA
Rfam family: Bacterial small subunit ribosomal RNA
Source: RNAcentral
GACGAACGCUGGCGGCGUGCUUAACACAUGCAAGUCGAACGGAAAGGCCCUGCUUUUGUGGGGUGCUCGAGUGGCGAACGGGUGAGUAACACGUGAGUAACCUGCCCUUGACUUUGGGAUAACUUCAGGAAACUGGGGCUAAUACCGGAUAGGAGCUCCUGCUGCAUGGUGGGGGUUGGAAAGUUUCGGCGGUUGGGGAUGGACUCGCGGCUUAUCAGCUUGUUGGUGGGGUAGUGGCUUACCAGGGCUUUGACGGGUAGCCGGCCUGAGAGGGUGACCGGCCACAUUAGGACUGAGAUACGGCCCAGACUCCUACGGGAGGCAGCAGUGGAGAAUAUUGCACAAUGGGCGGAAGCCUGAUGCAGCAACGCCGCGUGCGGGAUGACGGCCUUCGGGUUGUAAACCGCUUUCGCCUGUGACGAAGCGUGAGUGACGGUAAUGGGUAAAGAAGCACCGGCUAACUACGUG